This 487-nucleotide long non-coding RNA is filed under the name Homo sapiens (human). RNAcentral describes it as "PABPC4 antisense RNA 1". Lineage: Eukaryota; Metazoa; Chordata; Mammalia; Primates; Hominidae. The record is from RNAcentral.
GGCAGGUUCCCAAGAGCUGUGACCAAACAGCACACCCACCUGUGGGACUGCUGGCACAAAGUAGCCACCCGCUGCAGGCUGGAACUGAUUUAAGAUGGCAUUGGCAGGAAGUGCUCUCAUUCCAGCCACUCGUUGCAUAUACUGGUUGGUCAGUUAAUGGCCCAGAGAGCCUCCUGAAGUGGAGGAUAGGGAAGUAAAGAAGUGCAUCACUCCAUAACUCUCUACCAAUGAGAUGGGCCAGUAAGUGAUAUCUGUAGAUCAACCACUGCACACACAGACAUUAUAAAGAUAACCCAUCCUCUGGCAUACUGAAUGACACAAAGGACAAAAAUUAUUUUGGCUUGUAAUAGCCAAGACUUAUUGUCUCUUCUUCUCCCCAUAUGGCUUUGAUUUGUCCAGGUUCUUGAUGAAGACGUUUCCCACACCAGAUUUUCUCAAAGAGGGAUCCCUCUGAGACCACAUGAUGCGGAUUGGCUUUCCCUUAAUC